GGGUUAAGUCCCGCAACGAGCGCAACCCCUGUGUUCUGUUGCUAUCUGAACGAGAGUUCGGAGCACUCUGGACAGACUGCCUCGCUUAAACGAGGAGGAAGGUGGGGAUGACGUCAAGUCAGUAUGGCCCUUACGGCCAGGGCUGCACACGUACUACAAUGCUCGGCACAAAGGGAUGCGAGACCGCGAGGUGGAGCAAAUCUCCAAAAACCGAGCCCAGUUCAGAUUGAAGUCUGCAACUCGACUUCAUGAAGCUGGAAUCGCUAGUAAUGGCGCAUCAGCUACGGCGCCGUGAAUACGUUCCCAGGCCUUGUACACACCGCCCGUCACAUCAUGAAAGCCGCUUGUACCCGAAGUCGCCGUGCCAACCGCAAGGAGGCAGGUGCCGAAGGUAUGGGUGGUGAUUGGGAUGAAGUCGUAACAAGGUAAG
Molecule: ribosomal RNA, 430 nt
Filed under: uncultured Verrucomicrobiota bacterium
Lineage: Bacteria; Pseudomonadati; Verrucomicrobiota
Description: bacterial SSU rRNA
Rfam family: Bacterial small subunit ribosomal RNA
Source: RNAcentral